CCCUUAGACGUUCUGGGCCGCACGCGCGCUACACUGACCAGUGCAACAAGCAUCCGUCCUUGGCCGACAGGCUCGGGCAAUCUUUGAACGCUGGUCGUGAUGGGGAUAGACUUUUGCAAUUUUUGGUCUUCAACGAGGAAUUCCUAGUAAACGCAAGUCAUCAACUUGCAUUGAUUACGUCCCUGCCCUUUGUACACACCGCCCGUCGCACCUACCGAUUGAAUGGUUCGGUGAAGCCUCCGGAUUGGCGCGCACCUCGGUGCCGCCGAGAAGUUGGCUAAACCUUACCAUUUAGAGGAAGGUGAAGUCGUAACA
Molecule: ribosomal RNA, 315 nt
Filed under: uncultured eukaryote
Lineage: Eukaryota
Description: partial 18S ribosomal RNA
Rfam family: Eukaryotic small subunit ribosomal RNA
Source: RNAcentral